This 497-nucleotide ribosomal RNA is filed under the name uncultured bacterium. RNAcentral describes it as "partial 16S ribosomal RNA". It matches the Rfam family "Bacterial small subunit ribosomal RNA", at positions 28 to 507 of the family's 1533-position model. The record is from RNAcentral.
GACGAACGCUGGCGGCGUGCCUAAUACAUGCAAGUUGAGCGCUGAAGGUUGGUACUUGUACCAACUGGAUGAGCAGCGAACGGGUGAGUAACGCGUGGGGAAUCUGCCUUUGAGCGGGGGACAACAUUUGGAAACGAAUGCUAAUACCGCAUAAAAACUUUAAACACAAGUUUUAAGUUUGAAAGAUGCAAUUGCAUCACUCAAAGAUGAUCCCGCGUUGUAUUAGCUAGUUGGUGAGGCAAAGGCUCACCAAGGCGAUGAUACAUAGCCGACCUGAGAGGGUGAUCGGCCACAUUGGGACUGGGACACGGCCCAAACUCCUACGGGAGGCAGCAGUAGGGAAUCUUCGGCAAUGGACGAAAGUCUGACCGAGCAACGCCGCGUGAGUGAAGAAGGUUUUCGGAUCGUAAAACUCUGUUGGUAGAGAAGAACGUUGGUGAGAGUGGAAAGCUCAUCAAGUGACGGUAACUACCCAGAAAGGGACGGCUAACUACGUG